Molecule: ribosomal RNA, 468 nt
Filed under: uncultured bacterium
Lineage: Bacteria
Description: partial 16S ribosomal RNA
Rfam family: Bacterial small subunit ribosomal RNA
Source: RNAcentral
GACGAACGCUGGCGGCGUGCUUAACACAUGCAAGUCGAACGGAAAGGCCCUGCUUUUGUGGGGUGCUCGAGUGGCGAACGGGUGAGUAACACGUGAGUAACCUGCCCUUGACUUUGGGAUAACUUCAGGAAACUGGGGCUAAUACCGGAUAGGAGCUCCUGCUGCCUGGUGGGUGUUGGAAAGUUUCGGCGGUUGGGGAUGGACUCGCGGCUUAUCAGCUUGUUGGUGGGGUAGUGGCUUACCAAGGCUUUGACGGGUAGCCGGCCUGAGAGGGUGACCGGCCACAUUGGGAAUGAGAUACGGCCCAGACUCCUACGGGAGGCAGCAGUGGGGAAUAUUGCACAAUGGGCGGAAGCCUGAUGCAGCAACGCCGCGUGCGGGAUGACGGCCUUCGGGUUGUAAACCGCUUUCGCCUGUGACGAAGCGUGAGUGACGGUAAUGGGUAAAGAAGCACCGGCUAACUACGUG